CUCGUUAAGACUAGAUGGGGUAUCCCUACAUAGCGGGUGGGACCCACGGCGAAUGGUUCAUCAAGUCUUCAAAAAAGAAUAUAUACGAUUGCAUUGCAUAUACUAACGGAUGCGAUCAUACCAGCACUAAUGCACCGGAUCCCAUCAGAACUCCGCAAUUAAGCGUGCUUGGGCGAGAGUAGUACUAGGAUGGGUGACCUCCCGGGAAGUCCUCGUGUUGCAUCCCUCUUUUAUAUUUAACCUCUUU
Molecule: ribosomal RNA, 247 nt
Filed under: Arabidopsis thaliana (thale cress)
Lineage: Eukaryota; Viridiplantae; Streptophyta; Magnoliopsida; Brassicales; Brassicaceae
Source: RNAcentral